Molecule: long non-coding RNA, 1077 nt
Filed under: Ursus maritimus (polar bear)
Lineage: Eukaryota; Metazoa; Chordata; Mammalia; Carnivora; Ursidae
Description: lncRNA (ENSUMAG00000010079.1)
Source: RNAcentral
AUGACAUGUAUUUACAGGUACCUACACGGCAGGCCCUGCCGAGUGGUACAGACGUGCACGCCACACCGUCUCUCCUCUCGCGGGCGGCUCAUUCCAGUGGAGCGGCUGAGAUGGAGAGCAGGAAAGAGCACACGAGCAAGAUCAUUUCCAGGAGUGAUAAGUGUGUGGAAGGCAGUAAAGCAGGGAAGGUGGGGCUCCUGGGAGUGUGAACAGACUGCUGGAGGCUGGCCUUCCUGUAGUCGGUGUGACUUUGGAACAAACAGAUAUGGGGCUCAAGGCAGAAUCCCAGCAUCCCAGCAUCUCUCCGCCACCACCCAGGCUCGUUCUUGGCCUGGCGCUCUUCCCAUUCCGGACUACGACCUUACUAACAGAAUGCCUCGGACCUGGGCUUCGCGCUGCGUGCUGGCUCAGGCCGCCCCUCCUGCCUGCUGUCCCUUUCGCUUUGUGUGCAGCCAGCAUGUGCCCAGACGAAAGACUCGGCCCACGCUUUCACCCCUUAGUGUACAAGGCAAAGACUUCGCUGAAACCAGCACAUGCCCUGCUCCCUUACACUCCCCAGCGGUUUGAGGGCAGGAACUGCGUCUUCCUCGCCCUGGCGUCCCAGCUUCUAGUUCAGCGCUUGUCACAUGCUGGACGACACAUGUUUUCCGAGAAGAGAUAAACACAAUGCUUAUUGAACCCACUGACUCUGGACGCUGUUCUGAGAGUUUACAAGUCUCACUCACAUGAUGACUCCACAAGGGAAACAUGUUGCUAUCCAGGGCCAGAGCAGGGGAGACAGCAAGGCCCUCACAGGGGGUGCAGAAUGUAAGGGGACACCAACCAAACUCAGGAAUCAAGAUAGAUAAAUUUUUUUUAAGAUUUUAUUUUGGGGAGUGCCUGGGUGGCACAGCGGUUAAGCGUCUGCCUUCGGCUCAGGGCGUGAUCCCGGCGUUGUGGGAUCGAGCCCCACAUCAGGCUCCUCCGCUAUGAGCCUGCUUCUUCCUCUCCCACUCCCCCUGCUUGUGUUCCCUCUCUCUCUGGCUGUCUCUAUCUCUGUCUAAUAAAUAAAUAAAAUCUUUAAAAAAAAAAAAAAGA